GACGAACGCUGGCGGCGUGCCUAAUACAUGCAAGUAGGACGCAGUUGCGAACGGGUGAGUAACGCGUAGGUAACUGCCUAUUAGAGUGGGAUAACUAUUGGAAACGAUAGCUAAUACCGCAUACUAGUAGAUGGACCUGCGUUGUAUUAGCUAGUAGGUAGGGUAAUGGCCUACAUAGGCAACGAUACAUAGCCGAACUGAGGGGGGGAGCGGGCAGACUGGGACUGAGACACGGCCCAGACUCCUGCGGGAGGCAGCAGUAGGUAAACUUCGGACAGGGGGGGAACCCUGACCGAGCAACGGCGCGUGAGUGAAGAAGGUUUUCGGAUCGUAAAGCUCUGUUGUUAAGGAAGCGGUACUUAACCAGAAAGGGACGGCUAACUACGUGCCAGCAGCCGCGGUAAUUC
Molecule: ribosomal RNA, 407 nt
Filed under: uncultured bacterium
Lineage: Bacteria
Description: partial 16S ribosomal RNA
Rfam family: Bacterial small subunit ribosomal RNA
Source: RNAcentral